UGGGGAAUAUUGGACAAUGGGCGCAAGCCUGAUCCAGCCAUGCCGCGUGAGUGAUGAAGGCCCUAGGGUUGUAAAGCUCUUUCACCGGUGAAGAUAAUGACGGUAACCGGAGAAGAAGCCCCGGCUAACUUCGUGCCAGCAGCCGCGGUAAUACGAAGGGGGCUAGCGUUGUUCGGAUUUACUGGGCGUAAAGCGCACGUAGGCGGACUAUUAAGUCAGGGGUGAAAUCCCGGGGCUCAACCCCGGAACUGCCUUUGAUACUGGUAGUCUUGAGUUCGAGAGGGGUGAGUGGAAUUCCGAGUGUAGAGGUGAAAUUCGUAGAUAUUCGGAGGAACACCAGUGGCGAAGGCGGCUAACUGGCUCGAUACUGACGCUGAGGUGCGAAAGCGUGGGGAGCAAACAGG
Molecule: ribosomal RNA, 404 nt
Filed under: Actinomycetes bacterium
Lineage: Bacteria; Bacillati; Actinomycetota; Actinomycetes
Description: Actinobacteria bacterium partial 16S ribosomal RNA
Rfam family: Bacterial small subunit ribosomal RNA
Source: RNAcentral